AACAAUAUCCUGAUGCCGUCUGAGU
Molecule: non-coding RNA, 25 nt
Filed under: Xenopus laevis (African clawed frog)
Lineage: Eukaryota; Metazoa; Chordata; Amphibia; Anura; Pipidae
Also listed under: 1 other name
Source: RNAcentral